This 279-nucleotide ribosomal RNA is filed under the name uncultured bacterium. RNAcentral's name for it is "partial 16S ribosomal RNA". It matches the Rfam family "Bacterial small subunit ribosomal RNA", at positions 506 to 784 of the family's 1533-position model. The record is from RNAcentral.
UGCCAGCAGCCGCGGUAAUACAGAAGCCUCAAGCGUUACCCGGAUUCACUGGGCGUAAAGGGUUCGUAGGCGGUUAUAUUAGUCGAGAGUUAAAUCCUGAGGCUCAACCUCAGGCUCGCAUUCGAAACGGUAUAACUAGAAGAUGUGAGAGGUAAACAGAACUCUCGGUGUAGGGGUGAAAUCCGUUGAUAUCGAGGGGAAUACCAAAUGCGAAGGCAGUUUACUGGCACAUUCUUGACGCUGAGGAACGAAAGCGUGGGUAGCGAACGGGAUUAGAUA